Cynoglossus semilaevis (tongue sole) is the source of this 1690-nucleotide long non-coding RNA. RefSeq lists it as uncharacterized. The record is from RefSeq and is a predicted model, not a curated record. The transcript has 2 exons. Lineage: Eukaryota; Metazoa; Chordata; Actinopteri; Pleuronectiformes; Cynoglossidae.
CAUUGAAAACAGCUGACAACAGAUGAUUGAGAUGAUGUGAAAUAUUGGCAAAUUUAAGAUGAUCAUGUGACUGUUGCAGCCUGUGAGAUUUAAGUAAAUGAACACUGAAAUCCUGAUGAUGGGGUUUUUCCAGGGGAGCUGAUGUGUUUUGACUGCGUGCAGCGUCAGCUCCCGGCGCAACUUAAAUGAUAAAGUAACAGAGUGUUCACCCUUUGGACUGAUCCCGAAUUCUGACUAAUGUUUGAUCGAAGUGUUUGUGUUAUAUGAAAAGAGCGUUUGUGCAGUUAAUUAUAUUUAGGCUUCGCACAAUGUCCGCGCUCGACUUGCACUUGGUCCUCUGUCGAGUGUCUGGACGUGCAGCCAUGUGACGGACGGAGCCGCUGGUCAAACAUAGGCGCAAGAUCUUUUCCUAAGUAUCAGCUCAAGAUGAUAGAAAAUAUUCCUUUAAUUUGAGGCGGGCGACAGCAGCCUGAAUGUUGUCCCUGCUGGGCUCCAACUAACAGUCUCUAGGUUUACAGACCAACACGCUAACUCACUGCACCACAGACACGUCUUCUGACAGGCUCAGCCCAGGUCAGCCCGUGUGUUAAAGUGGACAUGUGUGUGACGGUAACUCUACUUGGAUAAACUGACUGAAAUGUGUUGUCAGAGACGUUUCAGGGAUUUUGACUCAUUCUGUGGAGCUAAUGCUUCAAUUGGGAUUUUUAAAAUAAAAUCAGAUUAAUCAUGAUGACGGGUUAAUCCAUGUUAACACGUCAAUGUUCACAGCCCUAACAUAUACAUUUAAUGAUACUUUAAUGUUUGUGUCACUGCUGAGACGUGUGUGAAACAACAUCUGUGUGGAUUUAAUACACAGUUGAAAUGUGACAACGAUGGAGAAAAUGUCAUUUUAUUCACUAGUUUUUCCUAAAUUAAAAAAAUAAAACUGACUGUAAUCAGUUUCCAUCUUAGUUUCCUCACUGUGGAUUGGGUUGAACUCCCACACACACUGCACAUCAGUCCAUUUCCCACAGAGCUUUUCCACCUGUAUAACACUGUCUUCCUGUUCAUUGUAUAUUUAUUGAAACCAAACCUAAAGUAAAUCACUAUAGUACUCUGUGUGGGUUUGUAAACAAUGAUGUUAUGACAACCGUAAUAAUAAUAAUUGUUGUUAAAAUGAUUAUUGUUGUCAUUGUUAAUAGUAUUGUCAAGUAUAUAAUGAUGUCAUCAAGCAGAGGCCCCUCCCACCUCUUUUAUCAAGGGGUAAUUGUCUCUCUGUAACUCAUUGUUGAAUGUUGUUCAUAACUAUGUGAUAAAUCACAGAGGGUCAUGGAGUUAUUCUCCUUUACAGCUGUUAAUGUUGACCAGCACUAAUAUAAACAAGUUUGUGUUUGUAGACGUGGGAGCAAGAGACUGAGAGCAGAGUCUCCAGGACCCAGCUGUCUGUCUGUGAAGACUGACUGGUCCAUGGGUCACCCUCUAAACUUCAGUCCUGAACCAGGACCUACAGACACACGGUUAAAUUAUAACCAAAAUAAUGUCGUGUCACAAACUCGUGUGUAGUGUGAUUUUAUUUCACUUCCUGUCAAGGUGCACAGUGACGAGGAAAAGAAAACAGGUGGGAAAAUAUACUACUGAUCAAGAAAAUACUAUUUACAAUAAUUUCAAAAACAAAGAACUGCUGAAUCCUUCAAUAUUGCAAAAAUGUUCA